AAUGGGUUUGCUGGGUCAUAUGGUAAAAAUGUGUUUAACUUAAGAAAUCAUCAAACUAUUUUCUAGAGUACCUUUGCUAUUUUGCAUUCCCACCAGUAAG
This 100-nucleotide microRNA precursor is filed under the name Marmota monax (woodchuck). The record is from RNAcentral. Lineage: Eukaryota; Metazoa; Chordata; Mammalia; Rodentia; Sciuridae.